GGAAUCAAGUGGACAAGCGCACAGACGGAGUCAGGUAGACAAGCACACAGAGUCAGGUGGACAAGCACACAGACGGAAUCAAGUGGACAAGCGCACAGACGGAGUCAGGUGGACAAGCGCACAGACAGAGUCAGGUGGACAAGCGCAGAGUCAGGUGGUCAAGCACACAGAC
This is a long non-coding RNA of Apodemus sylvaticus (European woodmouse), 172 nucleotides long. RefSeq lists it as uncharacterized. The transcript has 3 exons. The record is from RefSeq and is a predicted model, not a curated record. NCBI's taxonomy places the organism in Eukaryota, Metazoa, Chordata, Mammalia, Rodentia, Muridae.